CACGUAGGGGGCGAGCGUUGUUCGGAAUCAUUGGGCGUAAAGGGUGCGCAGGCGGCUUCUCAAGUCCGGUGUGAAAUACCCCAGCUCAACUGGGGGGACGCGCUGGAAACUGGGGAGCUAGAGUACAGGAGGGGGAGUUGGAAUUCCAGGUGUAGGGGUGAAAUCUGUAGAUAUCUGGAAGAACACCGGUGGCGAAGGCGAACUCCUGGCCAUGUACUGACGCUGAGGCACGAAGGCGUGGGGAGCAAAC
Molecule: ribosomal RNA, 250 nt
Filed under: uncultured bacterium
Lineage: Bacteria
Also listed under: 1 other name
Description: partial 16S ribosomal RNA
Rfam family: Bacterial small subunit ribosomal RNA
Source: RNAcentral